RNAcentral lists this transfer RNA (85 nucleotides) under Gaiella occulta. RNAcentral's name for it is "Rubrobacteridae bacterium F2-223 tRNA". It matches the Rfam family "tRNA". From Rfam's summary of the family: Transfer RNA (tRNA) molecules are approximately 80 nucleotides in length. The record is from Rfam by way of RNAcentral. Lineage: Bacteria; Bacillati; Actinomycetota; Thermoleophilia; Gaiellales; Gaiellaceae.
GCCGGGGUGGCGAAACCGGUCAUACGCGGCCGCCUUAAAAGCGGCUGUCCUUCGGGACGUCUGGGUUCGAGUCCCAGCCCCGGCA